CACCAGGUUGAUUCUGCCUGACGUGGACGCUUGCCUUAAGGAUUAAGCCAUGCAAGCCAGCGAAUUUUAUAUGGAGCGGCGUACGGCUCAGUAGGACAGGACUUAUCUGGUCAUGAUGCGGGAUAACCACGGAAACCUGUGGCUAAUACGGAGAAUGAGUGAGGGCCUGGCCUAUCAGCUUGUCGGUAAGGUAAAGGCUUACCGGGGCGAUUACGGGUAACGAGGAAUCGGGGUUUGAUUUGGAGAAGGAGCCUGAGAGAUGGCUGCUACGUCUAAGGAUGGCAGCAGGCGCGAAACUUGCCCACUCGGAGGACCGGAGGCAGUGACGGGGCGUGAUUUUAUUAUGAUGAGGGCGCUGCAAACAUGCGCCCGAAAGCAACUGGAGGGCAAGUCUGGUGCCAGCAGCCGCGGUAAUACCAGCUCCAGGAGCGUCUGUGUGUAUUGCUGCGGUUAAAGGGCGCGUAGUCGGGCGUAAGGCCAACGAUAAAUACCCAGGUUCCGCCUGGGACUGACGUUGGAACCGGAGCCUUGGGACCGGAGUAGGGCAAUGGUAUUCGGGGGCGAGGGGUGAAAACCGAUGACCCUCCGAGGAGCGACAGAGGCGAAAGCGGUUGUCCACUACGGGUCCGACGAUCAAGCGCGUAGGCAGGAGUAUCGAAGGCGAUUAGACACCGUCGUAGUUUCUGCAGUAAACGAUGCCAACAGGGGAGAGCGGGCCAGCUCUCCCUGAGGGAAACCGAGUGUAUGGGCCCCGGGGAUAGUAUAGGCGCAAGCUGGAAACUUGAAGAAAUUGACGGAAGGACACCACAAGGAGUGGAGUGUGCGGGUUAAUUUGACUCAACGCGGGAAAGCUUACCGGGGCAGGCGGCGGCCGGAGACCAGGCGGUCUAUGGAGCGGCAUGGGAGGCUGCCGCGCGUGGUGCAUGGCCGUUUUUAACACGUGGGGUGACUUGUCUGGUCAAGUCUGAUAACGCGUGAGACCUAGGGCUGCGGCGACGGCACCUGUAAGGGUGAGGAGGCACUAGUCGAUAACAGGUCUGUGAUGCCCGUAGAUGUCCCGGGCUCCACGCGCACUACAUUAGGGGAGGGUCUGUGAAACUGCGCUCCCCUGCGGUUGGGAUUGACGCUUGUAAAUGCGUCAUGAACACGGAAUUCCUAGUAGCGUGGUGUCAUCAACACCAGGCGAAUGGGUCCCUGUUCUUUGUACACACCGCCCGUCGUUAUCUAAGAUGGGUGUGUAAAUGAAGCUAGUCACCUAGAAGAAUUUGCACGCCUAAAUCGGAUACAAGUCGUAACAAGGUUGCUGUAGGUGAACCAGCAGCAGGAUCAUAA
Molecule: ribosomal RNA, 1332 nt
Filed under: Amblyospora sp.
Lineage: Eukaryota; Fungi; Microsporidia; Amblyosporidae
Description: Microsporidia small subunit ribosomal RNA
Rfam family: Microsporidia small subunit ribosomal RNA
Source: Rfam by way of RNAcentral